RNAcentral lists this ribosomal RNA (401 nucleotides) under uncultured bacterium. RNAcentral describes it as "bacterial SSU rRNA". It matches the Rfam family "Bacterial small subunit ribosomal RNA", at positions 975 to 1375 of the family's 1533-position model. The record is from RNAcentral.
CAGGUCUUGACAUCCCACUGACCGGCUUAGAGAUAGGCUUUUCCCUUCGGGGACAGUGGUGACAGGUGGUGCAUGGUUGUCGUCAGCUCGUGUCGUGAGAUGUUGGGUUAAGUCCCGCAACGAGCGCAACCCUUGAUCUUAGUUGCCAGCAUUCGGUUGGGCACUCUAAGGUGACUGCCGGUGAUAAACCGGAGGAAGGUGGGGAUGACGUCAAAUCAUCAUGCCCCUUAUGACCUGGGCUACACACGUGCUACAAUGGACGAUACAAAGGGCUGCAAACCCGCGAGGGGGAGCCAAUCCCAUAAAAUCGUUCUCAGUUCGGAUUGUAGGCUGCAACUCGCCUACAUGAAGCCGGAAUCGCUAGUAAUCGUGGAUCAGCAUGCCACGGUGAAUACGUUCCC